This 67-nucleotide non-coding RNA is filed under the name Anaerotignum sp. Lineage: Bacteria; Bacillati; Bacillota; Clostridia; Lachnospirales; Anaerotignaceae. The record is from RNAcentral.
AGCCGAAACACCCCUUGCGGGGUGUCUGCCGGAAUUAGCCAACCGGCACUGAUGAUGGCAGGCUGAA